RNAcentral lists this ribosomal RNA (115 nucleotides) under uncultured eukaryote. RNAcentral describes it as "partial small subunit ribosomal RNA". It matches the Rfam family "Bacterial small subunit ribosomal RNA", at positions 1411 to 1525 of the family's 1533-position model. The record is from RNAcentral.
UUUGUUGCACCAGAAGCAGGUAGUCUAACCGAAAGGAGGGCGCUUGCCACGGUGUGGCCGAUGACUGGGGUGAAGUCGUAACAAGGUAGCCGUAGGUGAACCUGCAGAAGGAUCA